Molecule: transfer RNA, 72 nt
Filed under: Channa striata (snakehead murrel)
Lineage: Eukaryota; Metazoa; Chordata; Actinopteri; Anabantiformes; Channidae
Description: tRNA-Asp
Rfam family: tRNA
About the family: Transfer RNA (tRNA) molecules are approximately 80 nucleotides in length. Their secondary structure includes four short double-helical elements and three loops (D, anti-codon, and T loops).
Source: RNAcentral
AAGAUGCUAGUAAAAUUGCCAUUACACUGCUUUGUCAAGGCAUAAUUGCAAGUUAGAGUCUUGCGUAUCUUA